AUGCAGUUUUCGUCAGGAUAACUUCUGUUGUGUUUGAAUUCCUCUUUGUGUGGUUCCCAGCAUUUCAGGCAGUGCAGCACUGCAGCAUCACACCCCUCUCUGGAAUGCUAUUCCCUCAAGACUCCAAUGGCAGAGAGAGAUGGGAAAAGUGACAAGAUGGGGUUAGGCAACCUGGACCCAUUCUUCAAAGCAUUGCAGAGGAGUAAACAAGAGCAACAUAGAUCAUGAUUCACAGAUUGUUUACACAGAUCCCAAGACCAACAUGCCUUAGGACUGAAAAAGGAGAGCAGUCUGCAGCCUCCAGCCUUGCCCAUCUGUGUUAUCAAUAGCACAUACAAAGUCUAGACUCCUUUUUCUGCUGGUGAAGAGGACAAAUCAGCUCAUCACUGCGUAAGAGAGGCAGGCUCUGGGUCGCUGACUUCUGAAGACACCAA
Molecule: long non-coding RNA, 434 nt
Organism: Corvus hawaiiensis (hawaiian crow)
Lineage: Eukaryota; Metazoa; Chordata; Aves; Passeriformes; Corvidae
Exons: 4
Source: RefSeq, a predicted model, not a curated record